This 846-nucleotide ribosomal RNA is filed under the name Triticum aestivum (bread wheat). Its description in RNAcentral is "partial small subunit ribosomal RNA". The record is from RNAcentral. Lineage: Eukaryota; Viridiplantae; Streptophyta; Magnoliopsida; Poales; Poaceae.
AUGCUCAGGCUGCGUAGCCGCGUCCUCGCCCAUCUCCUCUCUUCUUCUCCAGCCACCUCCCCCGGAUCCCCUCUUCGCCGCCUCCUCUCCGCCAUUUCCCCCAACCCUAGCUUCGCCGCGCACGAGUACCUCGUCUCCACUUGCGGCCUCACGCCAGCACAGGCCGUCAAGGCCUCCGCCAAGCUCUCCCACCUCAAGUCCCCCGCCAAUCCCGACGCCGUGCUCGCCUUCCUCGCCGGCCUCGGUCUCUCCGGCGCCGAUGUCGCCGCCCUCGUCGCCAGGGACCCGCAGUUCCUCUGCGCCAGCGUGGAGAGAACCCUGACGCCCGUCGCCGCCGGGCUCUCUGGCCUCGGCUUAUCGCGUUCCGACAUCGCGCGCCUCGCCUCGCUGGCCGCCCACAAAUUCCGCCAAAAAGCAAUGGUCUCCAAGCUGCACUACUACUUGCGCGUCUUCGGCUCCUUAGACACCUUCCUCCGGGCCAUGAAGGGCGGCCAUCUCCUCUCACACAGCAUCGAGAGGGUGGUCAAGCCCAAUGUCGCGUACCUGCGAGAGUGUGGGUUGCAGGAUUGUGAUAUUGCCAAGUUUUGCAUCCAAAGACCAAGGAUGAUCAUUGCCAGUCCGGAGCAUGUCCAGGCGAUGGUGAGAUGUGCUGAAAGCAUAGGUGUGCCCCGUGCCUCUGGCAUGUUCAGGCAUGCGCUGCAUGCUGUUGCAUUUCACAGCGAGGAGGAGAUCGCAGCCAGGGUGGAGUAUUUGAAGAAAACGUUCAGGUGGUCGGAUGCCGAGGUGGGCAUCGCUGUUUCUAAGGCUCCAACCAUAGUUGCCAUGUUUCCGGUACGGUGGGAAUGA